GUCGAGCGGUAGAGAGAAGCUUGCUUCUCUUGAGAGCGGCGGACGGGUGAGUAAUGCCUAGGAAUCUGCCUGGUAGUGGGGGAUAACGUUCGGAAACGGACGCUAAUACCGCAUACGUCCUACGGGAGAAAGCAGGGGACCUUCGGGCCUUGCGCUAUCAGAUGAGCCUAGGUCGGAUAGCUAGUUGGUGGGGUAAUGGCUCACAAGGCGACGAUCCGUAACUGUCUGAGAGGAUGAUCAGUCACACUGGAACUGAGACACGGUCCAGACUCCUACGGGAGGCAGCAGUGGGGAAUAUUGGACAAUGGGCGAAAGCCUGAUCCAGCCAUGCCGCGUGUGUGAAGAAGGUCUUCGGAUUGUAAAGCACUUUAAGUUGGGAGGAAGGGCUGUAGAUUAAUACUUUGCAAUUUUGACGUUACCGACAGAAUAAGCACGGCUAACUCUGUGCCAGCAGCCGCGGUAAUACAGAGGGUGCAAGCGU
Molecule: ribosomal RNA, 481 nt
Filed under: Pseudomonas sp. H26S
Lineage: Bacteria; Pseudomonadati; Pseudomonadota; Gammaproteobacteria; Pseudomonadales; Pseudomonadaceae
Description: bacterial SSU rRNA
Rfam family: Bacterial small subunit ribosomal RNA
Source: RNAcentral